UACGUAGGGGGCAAGCGUUGUCCGGAAUCAUUGGGCGUAAAGAGCGUGUAGGCGGUUCGGUAAGUCGGCUGUGAAAGUCCAGGGCUCAACCCUGGGAUGCCGGUCGAUACUGCCGGACUAGAGUUCGGAAGAGGCGAGUGGAAUUCCCGGUGUAGCGGUGAAAUGCGCAGAUAUCGGGAGGAACACCUAUGGGCGAAGGCAGCUCGCUGGGACGUUACUGACGCUGGAGACGCGAAAGCGUGGGGAGCAAACAGG
This 255-nucleotide ribosomal RNA is filed under the name uncultured bacterium. RNAcentral's name for it is "partial 16S ribosomal RNA". It matches the Rfam family "Bacterial small subunit ribosomal RNA", at positions 524 to 776 of the family's 1533-position model. The record is from RNAcentral.